This 174-nucleotide unclassified non-coding RNA is filed under the name uncultured Ascomycota. RNAcentral describes it as "sequence contains ITS2". The record is from RNAcentral. Lineage: Eukaryota; Fungi; Ascomycota.
UCACCCCUCAAGCAUCUGGCUUGGUGUUGGAUAGGCUUGGUUGGGCGACAGUCUAACCCCUCUCAAAGGCAAUGACGCUGGUCGCGUAUGAUCCCCGGUACACGGAGCUUUAAUCAAGCACGUAUCGGAUCUCUAGGGUCGACGGGCCUCGGUCGAUUUACAUCCUUUCUUCAA